GCAGAGUUUCGACCACCCGUGUCUCAUAAAAACGGAGGAAUUGUAUCAGACGGAGGACAGUUAUUACAUCGUGUUGGAGCUGAUGGAGAAGAGUUAUGUCUCAGCUGCC
This is a long non-coding RNA of Sander lucioperca (pikeperch), 109 nucleotides long. RefSeq lists it as uncharacterized. The transcript has 3 exons. NCBI's taxonomy places the organism in Eukaryota, Metazoa, Chordata, Actinopteri, Perciformes, Percidae. The record is from RefSeq and is a predicted model, not a curated record.